Molecule: ribosomal RNA, 433 nt
Filed under: uncultured bacterium
Lineage: Bacteria
Description: partial 16S ribosomal RNA
Rfam family: Bacterial small subunit ribosomal RNA
Source: RNAcentral
AACGAACGCUGGCGGCAUGCCUAACACAUGCAAGUCGAACGAGACCUUCGGGUCUAGUGGCGCACGGGUGCGUAACGCGUGGGAACCUGCCCUUAGGUUCGGAAUAACUCCCCGAAAGGGGUGCUAAUACCGGAUAAUGUCUUCGGACCAAAGAUUUAUCGCCUUUGGUUGGGCCCGCGUUGGAUUCGCUAGUUGGUAGGGUAAAAGCCUACCAAGGCGACGAUCCAUAGCUGGUCUGAGAGGAUGAUCAGCCACACUGGGACUGAGACACGGCCCAGACUCCUACGGGAGGCAGCAGUGGGGAAUAUUGGACAAUGGGCGAAAGCCUGAUCCAGCAAUGCCGCGUGAGUGAUGAAGGCCUUAGGGUUGUAAAGCUCUUUUACCCGGGAUGAUAAUGACAGUACCGGGAGAAUAAGCUCCGGCUAACUCCGUG